Rhagoletis pomonella (apple maggot) is the source of this 428-nucleotide long non-coding RNA. RefSeq lists it as uncharacterized. The transcript is spliced from 2 exons. The record is from RefSeq and is a predicted model, not a curated record. NCBI's taxonomy places the organism in Eukaryota, Metazoa, Arthropoda, Insecta, Diptera, Tephritidae.
UUCCACCAAAGUGAAACCCUGGGUUUGCAGGUUUUGGGUUUGAGAGAGUUGUCAACUGUUUCGACUGCGUGUUUGAUCAAAAUUGUGUUGAAACUGUCAUUCGUUUGUUUACUUUUCUAUCGCCACGUGCUACAAUUCUUAAAUGGUGCCUAAAAUUAAAAUCGUUAUAUUGAUUUUGUCAUUUUAUUUUAAAAUAAUAGAUAGUGAGGUGACGACAUAUUAUUUAAAAAAGAAGAUAAGAGAAAAUAAAAUGCUUUUGUCUAUUGCUGCCAAUUUACUGGACCCAACAAUAGUGCGUUCACAAAGUGUCUGGUGUUUGGAACAUUCCAGUACCUUUUGGGAAGUAGACUGCCAGAAGAAUGGCUCUAAGUUUUUCAAAGAGAAUUUCCGGAUGAAUAGAUCCAGCUUUGACGAAUUAUGUAGUCUCC